ACCAAGGCUCUUUUCAGAGCCAUGUGUGGCUUGAAAAGAAAGGCUU
Papio anubis (olive baboon) is the source of this 46-nucleotide non-coding RNA. The record is from Rfam. NCBI's taxonomy places the organism in Eukaryota, Metazoa, Chordata, Mammalia, Primates, Cercopithecidae.